This 407-nucleotide ribosomal RNA is filed under the name uncultured cyanobacterium. RNAcentral describes it as "bacterial SSU rRNA". It matches the Rfam family "Bacterial small subunit ribosomal RNA", at positions 374 to 795 of the family's 1533-position model. Lineage: Bacteria; Bacillati; Cyanobacteriota. The record is from RNAcentral.
GGCGAAAGCCUGACGGAGCAAGACCGCGUGAGGGAGGAAGGCUCUUGGGUUGUAAACCUCUUUUCUCAGGGAAGAAGAAAGUGACGGUACCUGAGGAAUCAGCCUCGGCUAACUCCGUGCCAGCAGCCGCGGUAAUACGGAGGAGGCAAGCGUUAUCCGGAAUGAUUGGGCGUAAAGCGUUCGUAGGUGGCAAUUCAAGUCUGCUGUCAAAGACAGUAGCUCAACUACUGCAAGGCAGUGGAAACUGAAUAGCUAGAGUGCGGUAGGGGCAGAGGGAAUUCCCGGUGUAGCGGUGAAAUGCGUAGAGAUCGGGAAGAACACCGGUGGCGAAAGCGCUCUGCUGGGCCGCAACUGACACUGAGGGACGAAAGCUAGGGGAGCGAAUGGGAUUAGAUACCCCAGUAGUC